UACGGGGGGGGCAAGCGUUGUUCGGAAUUACUGGGCGUAAAGGGCUCGUAGGCGGCCAACUAAGUCAGACGUGAAAUCCCCAGGCUCAACCUGGGAACUGCGUCCGAUACUGGAUGGCUUGAAUCCGGGAGAGGGAUGCAGAAUUCCAGGUGUAGCGGUGAAAUGCGUAGAUAUCUGGAGGAACACCGGUGGCGAAGGCGGGUCUCUGGGCCGAUACUGACGCUGAGGAGCGAAAGCGUGGGGAGCGAACAGG
This 253-nucleotide ribosomal RNA is filed under the name uncultured bacterium. RNAcentral's name for it is "partial 16S ribosomal RNA". It matches the Rfam family "Bacterial small subunit ribosomal RNA", at positions 524 to 776 of the family's 1533-position model. The record is from RNAcentral.